UGGUUUGUCGCGUCGUCUGUGAAAUCCCGGGGCUUAACCUCGGGCGUGCAGGCGAUACGGGCAUAACUUGAGUGCUGUAGGGGAGACUGGAAUUCCUGGUGUAGCGGUGAAAUGCGCAGAUAUCAGGAGGAACACCAAUGGCGAAGGCAGGUCUCUGGGCAGUAACUGACGCUGAGGAGCGAAAGCAUGGGUAGCGAACAGGAUUAGAUACCCUGGUAGUCCAUGCCGUAAACGGUGGGCGCUAGGUGUAGGGGACUUCCACGUCUUCUGUGCCGCAGCUAACGCAUUAAGCGCCCCGCCUGGGGAGUACGGCCGCAAGGCUAAAACUCAAAGGAAUUGACGGGGGCCCGCACAAGCGGCGGAGCAUGUGGAUUAAUUCGAUGCAACGCGAAGAACCUUACCUGGGCUUGACAUACACCAGAUCGCUGCAGAGAUGUAGCUUCCCUUGUGGCUGGUGUACAGGUGGUGCAUGGUUGUCGUCAGCUCGUGUCGUGAGAUGUUGGGUUAAGUCCCGCAACGAGCGCAACCCUUGUCUUAUGUUGCCAUCACGUGAUGGUGGGCACUCAUGAGAGACUGCCGGGGUUAACUCGGAGGAAGGUGGGGAUGACGUCAAAUCAUCAUGCCCCUUAUGUCCAGGGCUUCACACAUGCUACAAUGGUCGGUACAGCGAGUUGCCACACCGUGAGGUGGAGCUAAUCUCUCAAAGCCGGCCUCAGUUCGGAUUGGGGUCUGCAACUCGACCCCAUGAAGUCGGAGUCGCUAGUAAUCGCAGA
Molecule: ribosomal RNA, 773 nt
Filed under: uncultured bacterium
Lineage: Bacteria
Description: bacterial SSU rRNA
Rfam family: Bacterial small subunit ribosomal RNA
Source: RNAcentral